Molecule: ribosomal RNA, 1398 nt
Filed under: Enterococcus durans
Lineage: Bacteria; Bacillati; Bacillota; Bacilli; Lactobacillales; Enterococcaceae
Description: bacterial SSU rRNA
Rfam family: Bacterial small subunit ribosomal RNA
Source: RNAcentral
CGUACGCUUCUUUUUCACCGGAGCUUGCUCCACCGGAAAAAGAAGAGUGGCGAACGGGUGAGUAACACGUGGGUAACCUGCCCAUCAGAAGGGGAUAACACUUGGAAACAGGUGCUAAUACCGUAUAACAAUCGAAACCGCAUGGUUUUGAUUUGAAAGGCGCUUUCGGGUGUCGCUGAUGGAUGGACCCGCGGUGCAUUAGCUAGUUGGUGAGGUAACGGCUCACCAAGGCCACGAUGCAUAGCCGACCUGAGAGGGUGAUCGGCCACAUUGGGACUGAGACACGGCCCAAACUCCUACGGGAGGCAGCAGUAGGGAAUCUUCGGCAAUGGACGAAAGUCUGACCGAGCAACGCCGCGUGAGUGAAGAAGGUUUUCGGAUCGUAAAACUCUGUUGUUAGAGAAGAACAAGGAUGAGAGUAACUGUUCAUCCCUUGACGGUAUCUAACCAGAAAGCCACGGCUAACUACGUGCCAGCAGCCGCGGUAAUACGUAGGUGGCAAGCGUUGUCCGGAUUUAUUGGGCGUAAAGCGAGCGCAGGCGGUUUCUUAAGUCUGAUGUGAAAGCCCCCGGCUCAACCGGGGAGGGUCAUUGGAAACUGGGAGACUUGAGUGCAGAAGAGGAGAGUGGAAUUCCAUGUGUAGCGGUGAAAUGCGUAGAUAUAUGGAGGAACACCAGUGGCGAAGGCGGCUCUCUGGUCUGUAACUGACGCUGAGGCUCGAAAGCGUGGGGAGCAAACAGGAUUAGAUACCCUGGUAGUCCACGCCGUAAACGAUGAGUGCUAAGUGUUGGAGGGUUUCCGCCCUUCAGUGCUGCAGCUAACGCAUUAAGCACUCCGCCUGGGGAGUACGACCGCAAGGUUGAAACUCAAAGGAAUUGACGGGGGCCCGCACAAGCGGUGGAGCAUGUGGUUUAAUUCGAAGCAACGCGAAGAACCUUACCAGGUCUUGACAUCCUUUGACCACUCUAGAGAUAGAGCUUCCCCUUCGGGGGCAAAGUGACAGGUGGUGCAUGGUUGUCGUCAGCUCGUGUCGUGAGAUGUUGGGUUAAGUCCCGCAACGAGCGCAACCCUUAUUGUUAGUUGCCAUCAUUCAGUUGGGCACUCUAGCAAGACUGCCGGUGACAAACCGGAGGAAGGUGGGGAUGACGUCAAAUCAUCAUGCCCCUUAUGACCUGGGCUACACACGUGCUACAAUGGGAAGUACAACGAGUCGCGAAGUCGCGAGGCUAAGCUAAUCUCUUAAAGCUUCUCUCAGUUCGGAUUGUAGGCUGCAACUCGCCUACAUGAAGCCGGAAUCGCUAGUAAUCGCGGAUCAGCACGCCGCGGUGAAUACGUUCCCGGGCCUUGUACACACCGCCCGUCACACCACGAGAGUUUGUAACACCCGAAGUCGGUGAG